RNAcentral lists this ribosomal RNA (450 nucleotides) under uncultured Diversispora. RNAcentral describes it as "SSU rRNA". It matches the Rfam family "Eukaryotic small subunit ribosomal RNA", at positions 569 to 1021 of the family's 1831-position model. The record is from RNAcentral. Lineage: Eukaryota; Fungi; Glomeromycota; Glomeromycetes; Diversisporales; Diversisporaceae.
AGCAGCCGCGGUAAUUCCAGCUCCAAUAGCGUAUAUUAAAGUUGUUGUAGUUAAAAAGCUCGUAGUUGAACUUCGGGGUUUACCCAUUGGUCAGGCUUAAUUGUCUGCACUGGUGAGAUAAAUCUCUACCUUCUGAGGAACUUUCAUGCCAUUUAUUUGGUGUGAUUGGAAAUCAGGACUAUUACUUUGAAAAACUUAGAGUGUUUAAAGCAGGCUAACGUCUGAAUAUAUUAGCAUGGAAUAAUGAAAUAGGACGGCUUGGUUCUAUUUCGUUGGUUUCUAGGAUCACCGUAAUGAUUAAUAGGGAUAGUUGGGGGCAUUAGUAUUCAAUUGUCAGAGGUGAAAUUCUUGGAUUUAUUGAAGACUAACUACUGCGAAAGCAUUUGCCAAGGAUGUUUUCAUUAAUCAAGAACGAAAGUUAGGGGAUCGAAGACGAUCAGAUACCGUCGU